GGGUNNUAAUAUUNAAACCUAAAGAAUUUGGCGGUUCUUAAACUUGCUAGAGGAACCUGUCCUGUAAUCGAUAGUCCACGAUCUUAUUCACCUGCUUUUGUUAUCAGCUUAUAUACCGCCGUUUAGUGAACUAAAUUAAUAGCUUCUCUAAAUUAGUUAGUUAAAUAAAUCAGGUCAAGGUGUAGCUUAUAAGCAGGAAGAGAUGGGUUACAAUAACAUUUUAUACAGAUUUAUUUUCUUAGGAUGGUAAUGAAGGUGGAUUUAGAAGUAAAUUAAUAAAAUUUGAAGUAAGCUCUUGAGAAUGUACAUAU
RNAcentral lists this ribosomal RNA (311 nucleotides) under Streptocephalus queenslandicus. RNAcentral describes it as "partial 12S ribosomal RNA". Lineage: Eukaryota; Metazoa; Arthropoda; Branchiopoda; Anostraca; Streptocephalidae. The record is from RNAcentral.